RNAcentral lists this ribosomal RNA (495 nucleotides) under uncultured bacterium. RNAcentral's name for it is "partial 16S ribosomal RNA". It matches the Rfam family "Bacterial small subunit ribosomal RNA", at positions 28 to 507 of the family's 1533-position model. The record is from RNAcentral.
GACGAACGCUGGCGGCGUGCCUAAUACAUGCAAGUAGAACGCUGAAGGAGGAGCUUGCUCUUCUGGAUGAGUUGCGAACGGGUGAGUAACGCGUAGGUAACCUGCCUGGUAGCGGGGGAUAACUAUUGGAAACGAUAACUAAUACCGCAUAAGAGUAGAUGUUGCAUGACAUUUACUUAAAAGGUGCAAUUGCAUCACUACCAGAUGGACCUGCGUUGUAUUAGCUAGUUGGUGGGGUAACGGCUUACCAAGGCGACGAUACAUAGCCGACCUGGGAGGGUGAUCGGCCAAACUGGGACUGAGACACGGCCCAGACUCCUACGGGAGGCAGCAGUAGGGAAUCUUCGGCAAUGGACGGAAGUCUGACCGAGCAACGCCGCGUGAGUGAAGAAGGUUGUCGGAUCGUAAAGCUCUGUUGUAAGAGAAGAACGAGUGUGAGAGUGGAAAGUUCACACUGUGACGGUAUCUUACCAGAAAGGGACGGCUAACUACGUG